Non-coding RNA from Sus scrofa (pig), 775 nucleotides. Lineage: Eukaryota; Metazoa; Chordata; Mammalia; Artiodactyla; Suidae. The record is from RefSeq and is a predicted model, not a curated record.
AUUGUGUUUUCAUGCUUGGAAAUGAUAAUGGCUACCACUAAUAUGUGUCUGCAAAUCGGCAGGAACCUGGACAAUUGUGCGACUCAGAAUUGCAGGAGAGAGUGGCCUCCGUUCCUGUCACACCUGUUCAAUUUUCCUCUCCUGCUGCUUCCACUCUUGCCUGUAUGAUAAGAUUUGAGGAAAUCCUCUCUGAGAUGACUUGCCAGCUUACAAAAACAGACUUACCCCUACAGACAUCUGGAGGUCCCUCCAUAGAACAGCCGGUUCCUCCAAUCACUUCCUUUCGGCAUUUAGAAUGACUUGGAACAAAAGGAAGGGAACUGUUUGCGAAUGACUAACAGCAUGAAAAGCAAUGCCGAGAUUUUGUUCUACCUGACUCAGAACCUAAAGAAUUGGAGAUUUAUGGUUGUCUACAAAAUGCUGCAGUGAAAUGCGAAGAAAGGAGCCCAGACCAGUUAGGAUGAGAGAAAACAGAGACACAGAGAAGAAAACGUUCCCAUCCACCUCCAUCCCCAGCAUCCCUACGCGUUGACUCUUCUGGUCCUCCUGUUCCGCAAACGACCCAUUUCCAGAGAGAAGGACCUGAAGGGGUGGGGUCCCGAGAAGGAGAGAAGAGCCUGACUGACCACCAGGGCUCAACAGCAGGACCGAAAUGGAGGAGGUGGAAACAACAGCAGUUGUGGAAUUCCGUGGAGCAUCUCCUCAAAUGGAAAAUAUUACCCGGCAAAUCUCUGCCUCAGCCGGAGGUUCUUACCUGCCCUGCAAGGUCCUCUAC